Molecule: ribosomal RNA, 374 nt
Filed under: uncultured bacterium
Lineage: Bacteria
Description: bacterial SSU rRNA
Rfam family: Bacterial small subunit ribosomal RNA
Source: RNAcentral
UACGUAGGGUGCUAGAGUUGUCCGGAUUUACUGGGUGUAAAGGGUGCUCAGGUGGGUUUGUAAGUCAGAGGUGAAAUCCCAAAGCUUAACUUUGGAGCUGCCUUUGAUACUGCAAGUCUUGAGUUUGAGAGAGGGCAAUGGAAUAUCUGGUGUAGCAGUGAAAUGCGUAGAUAUCAGAUAGAACACCAAUGGCGAAGGCAGUUGCCUGGCUCAAAACUGACGCUAAAGCACGAAAGUGUGGGGAGCAAACAGGAUUAGAUACCCUGGUAGUCCACACCCUAAACGAUGAAUACUAGAUGUUGGUCCUUUUUAGGAUCAGUAUCCAAGCUAACGCAUUAAGUAUUCCACCUGGGAAGUACAAUCGCAAGGUUGAA